RNAcentral lists this ribosomal RNA (480 nucleotides) under uncultured bacterium. Its description in RNAcentral is "bacterial SSU rRNA". It matches the Rfam family "Bacterial small subunit ribosomal RNA", at positions 28 to 507 of the family's 1533-position model. The record is from RNAcentral.
GAUGAACGCUGGCGGCGUGCCUAACACAUGCAAGUCGAGCGGUAUAUACUGGAACGAAACUUCGGUCUAGAGAAGGUAUAGAGAGCGGCGGACGGGUGAGUAACGCGUAGGCAACCUGCCCCAUACAGAGGGAUAGCCUCGGGAAACCGGGAUUAAAACCUCAUAAUACGAAAGCUUCACAUGUUGCUUUCGUCAAAGAUUUAUCGGUAUGGGAUGGGCCUGCGUCUGAUUAGCUAGUUGGUGAGGUAACGGCUCACCAAGGCGACGAUCAGUAGCCGACCUGAGAGGGUAAUCGGCCACAUUGGAACUGAGACACGGUCCAAACUCCUACGGGAGGCAGCAGUGGGGAAUAUUGCACAAUGGGCGAAAGCCUGAUGCAGCAACGCCGCGUGAGCGAUGAAGGCCUUUGGGUCGUAAAGCUCUGUCCUUGGGGAAGAAAAAAUAGACGGUACCCAUGGAGGAAGCCCGGCUAACUACGUG